Molecule: ribosomal RNA, 468 nt
Filed under: uncultured bacterium
Lineage: Bacteria
Description: partial 16S ribosomal RNA
Rfam family: Bacterial small subunit ribosomal RNA
Source: RNAcentral
GACGAACGCUGGCGGCGUGCUUAACACAUGCAAGUCGAACGGAAAGGCCCUGCUUUUGUGGGGUGCUCGAGUGGCGAACGGGUGAGUAACACGUGAGGAACCUGCCCUUGACUUUGGGAUAACUUCAGGAAACUGGGGCUAAUACCGGAUAGGAGCUCCUGCUGCAUGGUGGGGGUUGGAAAGUUUCGGCGGUUGGGGAUGGACUCGCGGCUUAUCAGCUUGUUGGUGGGGUAGUGGCUUACCAAGGUUUUGACGGGUAGCCGGCCUGGGAGGGGGAACGGCCACAAUGGGACUGAGAUACGGCGCAGACGCCUACGGGAGGCAGUAGUGGGGAAUAUUGCACAAUGGGCGGAAGCCUGAGGCAGCAACGCCGCGUGCGGGAUGACGGGCUUCGGGUUGUAAACCGCUUUCGACUGUGACGAAGCGUGAGUGACGGUAAUGGGUAAAGAAGCACCGGCUAACUACGUG